Long non-coding RNA from Oreochromis aureus, 1105 nucleotides. Lineage: Eukaryota; Metazoa; Chordata; Actinopteri; Cichliformes; Cichlidae. The record is from Ensembl.
AUGGUUUUUACUGCAAUGCAUCUUGGGAGUCGUAGUAAAUGGAUCUUUCAACUCACGGUCCAGCGAAUUUUUCGACUCGACACGAGGCAGAUCUUAGCUAGGUAAGUUGUGAUAAACUGUGGGUAAUUUGCAUGUUCACUGAAAUAUUAAUCAGCUGAUAUUAAACUUGAAAUGUUUUCACAGAGCAGUCUGUGUACCAAGAGAACUACUUCUGCAAAGAAAUUACAAAGCCAAAAACCCAAACCAUGCCCUUCCUGUCAGGCUCCAAACACCUGCAACAGGAAGACAUGCAGUGGAUGCCUGGGCAGCCUGAACGUAAAGGAGGGAUUGAAAAAAAAAAACAAGAACAGCAACUGGGCUGCCUCUGUUAAAAAAAAAAAACAAAACAGAAAUGCGAGCAGGGUGGUUAAUUCAGCCCAGUUAUCAGUAAGGUUUCAAAACUACAUGCCCUGGGCUUCCAGCCAAUUCUGUUUCUUGGACAGUUUGACCGAAAGGGCCGUAUAGUAGGGGACGUGAUCACAUAGAGCCAGCGGAUGGUGCUGCAUGUGACAUCCUCAUGAAGAUGAGGAAACUUUAUGAACACCUUCUGAGAAAAUUACAAGCUUCACCUCCUGCUAAAAGUUCUACACCAGCAGCUGGACCAUCCUCUGCUGACAGUGUCGAUGCUGGACCAGUCCCAGACCCAGAGGCUCUAAACGAGGAAUUUAUUCUUCAUUUAGAGCCUGAACCAACAUCUUCCCUCUGUCAGCCUCCUGUAUCCUCCUCUUCAUCUCUGCUUCCUCCUGCAUCCUCCUCUUCAUCUCUGCUUCCUCCUGCAUCCUCCUCUCCGUCUCUGCUUCCUCCUGCAUCCUCCUCUCCGUCUCCGCUUCCUCCUGCAUCCUCCUCUUCAUCUCCGCUUCCUACAUUUCCCUCAAUUUCUACGGCGUACACCUCGGAUGUCCAAAACAAAAAAAGGACAAGGAAAGAAUGCCGAAAACACCGUACACAGAAGAUUUUCAAAUAUGAAGAGAUAGUAGACAGGAGAGUUGUAAAUGAAAAAGAAGUUAAAGUCAAGUGGAAGCCCUGCUCGAUAUGGUAUGUAGUAACAACAUUGUUGGACCGGAAC